CUCAUCUUCGCAGCACAUAUAGUAAAACAAUACAGAGAAAAUGAGCGUGGCCUCUGCCCAAAGAUGACACGCCACUUCACGAAGUGUCCCAUAUUUUA
Small nuclear RNA from Tupaia belangeri (northern tree shrew), 98 nucleotides. The record is from Ensembl. NCBI's taxonomy places the organism in Eukaryota, Metazoa, Chordata, Mammalia, Scandentia, Tupaiidae.